Molecule: long non-coding RNA, 264 nt
Filed under: Phoenix dactylifera (date palm)
Lineage: Eukaryota; Viridiplantae; Streptophyta; Magnoliopsida; Arecales; Arecaceae
Description: long non-coding RNA (PDAC_LNC017310)
Source: RNAcentral
UGUACUUUAGAUUAUAUUCAAAGAGUAAUCCAGCCUGCUAAUCCAGCACGAUAUCGAGAUUAUAUUUGCUUUCAUACACAAAUAAGUUGUCACUAAAAUGUCUCUUGUUUCUUGACUGGAAGCAGUGAUGAAUUAAUUGAAUUAAAUUUUUUUAUCAUUAAUCCCGCCCUUCGUUGUUGAGAACGUGCCAGGUGGCAGGACGGUAAUUUUCAUGGAAUGACGGGACGAUUUGCGUUGGGGCCCGCUGAGAACGUUGGCGUCGGA